This is a non-coding RNA of Podarcis lilfordi (Lilford's wall lizard), 818 nucleotides long. Lineage: Eukaryota; Metazoa; Chordata; Lepidosauria; Squamata; Lacertidae. The record is from the annotation of a GenBank genome assembly.
GUACGCUGAGCCCGGGACUGCAGGCAGCUCUGCGCAGCCACCGGGAGCCGGGCGGGACUUCGCGCCCCGCUCCCGAUGGCCGUGCAGAGCUGCGCUGAGCCUGGGACUGCAGGCAGCUCUGCACAACCCUCAGAGCCGGCCUCCCGAGGGUUGCGCAGACCUUACUGAAGCCUGGAGAGCGAGAGGGGUCGGUGCGAAAGCCUGCAUUCACCCCAUAGGACGCACACACAUUUCCCCUUCAUUUUUGGAGGGGAAAAUGUGCGUCCUAUAGGGCGAAAAAUACGGUAUAUCUCAUUUGGUUACAAAAUAUUUUCAAGACGUGUUCUGAAUAUAUAGAUUCUGGCUUUAUUCUGUCCCAUCAACAUGUACAUGCUAAUAGUGAACUAAGCGGGCAAAGACUGACAGUUGUUAAGGAUAAUGAUUUAAUUUCCUGAAAAGGGAAUGUUUACUUAUGUUAAAUUACUUUGUAAUUUUAACAUGGGUUUCCCCCCACCCUCUGGCAGUAGCUCUCAUGUGAUUGGCUGAUUGUGAGUCACAUGAGAGAUGCAUUCCAUUCUGUUGUGACUGUUAUUCCAGUAACUGUUGUUUUUUAACUGUUCCCCCCCAGAAUGGCUCCUGAGAGAGGCUUCCCAGGAUACUGCUGAGGGCAGUGUUGUGUCAGUGUGAUCUGUCUGAAGUGAAACAGACAGAGGAAGAUCCCUAAAUGUUAAUAGGGCGAAACCUGUGCAGGAGCUCUCUGAAAGGAACAAAGAGAAGAAACUAAGGCAAAAGUAAAAACUUUUCAUAAGAAACUGUAAGGCCUGAUUGAGGUCAAACUC